UGGGUAACCUGCCUCAAAGAGGGGAAUAGCCUCCCGAAAGGGAGAUUAAUACCGCAUAAUAUGUUUAGGUCGCAUGACUUUAACAUCAAAGGAUUUUCUUUUAGAAAUUCCACUUUGAGAUGGACCCGCGGCGCAUUAGCUAGUUGGUGAGGUAACGGCUCACCAAGGCAACGAUGCGUGGCCGACUGAGAGGGUGAUCCGGCCACAUUGGAACUGAGACACGGUCCAGACUCCCGUAGGGACGG
RNAcentral lists this ribosomal RNA (245 nucleotides) under uncultured bacterium. Its description in RNAcentral is "partial 16S ribosomal RNA". It matches the Rfam family "Bacterial small subunit ribosomal RNA", at positions 118 to 347 of the family's 1533-position model. The record is from RNAcentral.